UUGGUACUUUGCUUCUCUCUGUGUGCUGGUUUUUUCCACACUUCAGCCCUGAGGAGAAACCAACCCCACCUCACAUACAAAAUGUGCAUAGGAGUGGGAAAAGUAUACAUAUUGACUUUGGCUCAGUAUACAUGGUCUAUCAAUUUUGUGCCAUGGAGCCACAAAGCACACUAAGUGCAACAGAGUUAAUUGUUCUUUUGUCUGCUCCCUUUCAGGUGACAGGGCAAUUUCUGAGGGUUGCUCUUCUCUGACUGAGCAAACCCCAAGUUAUCCGUUAUCUUUGUUUCCCCAUUGCUUUCUUCCAUAAUUGAAGUUUAUUAGAUAACACCCUUGAGAAUGAGGGGACAUUCUCCCCGACUAUCCCCCCCUCCAAAAGAGUCGAUCUAAUUUAACAUGAAACACAAGUAGUAUUUAUUGUAAGGUAUAACAGAGAACGACAUACUAGAACAAAAUACUAGUUUACUUCUAGAUACUUCCAACUUCCAAAUUCCUGUUUCCACUUCCACUCUCAAAGUAUGACUCUCUUUGCUCCCCAGUACUUUGCAGAUUUUAACCACUUUGUCUGCUGGAUGCACAAAAGCUGCUAGCGGAGUUGUCUGUGUGAAAUAACAAAUUAAUAUUUGAGAACUGCAGUAUAUUCAACACAGUAGAUUGGUGCUGUGUCAAGGUGCCAUUACUUCAUGACAGUACGUUUCCUAUUUUCCUGAAGUUAAUCAUUUGUAAACUAGCAUUUAAAUAGGCCAUUUAGGCUUGGUGAUCACGCUGGGAAUUAACUACCAUGCAGGAGAAAUAGACAGUGUCUUUAAUACAAAGUGACUUGGGAAGGCAUUGCCACACAAACUCUACAAAAAGUUACUCUUUCCCUUCAGACUUCAGAUCCGUUCUGAAUCUUCCUUCAGUAGAGACCCCCAUUUGACUUCCAUUUCCUAUGUUGUGGACAGACCUUUUUUCUUCCAUUGGAACCCUGAGCCUCAUUCUGAAUCAGUAUGAGAAACGCAUCUUCCUUGUUUUUUCCUGUUUUAAAUGGUUGCAGUUGGAAUAAAAAGGUGCUUGUUUUGUACAGUCCCUAGAUGAAUAGCAGAGCUGGAUUAAUUCCUGCUAAUGCAACCCAAGCUCCGGACCACUAGUGGUGCUUUGUACCUAAUGCAGUGGGACAUGCAGCCUGCAACCCCUACUUUACUUGUGUGGAGGUUAGAGCUGACUGGUCAGCACAACCCUGACCGUGGGUAGAACAAGGCAGACACUUGUGGCGCUUAACCAAAUUGUAAAAUUGCCCACAUCUUGGGGAGCCCCUUUGAAAGAGGAGUGGGUAUCAUUGGUAUUGCCACCUGCCCUCUCAUUUGGGUGAAUUGCCAUGCCACAUCACCUUCUUCCCAACACUGAUGACUGUUUUCAGAAAACGUUUUUCUCUCUGUACCUGGCAGAUCCUUCCAUUCCCUGGCAUUUUGCUCUUUAUUUGGGCCUAGUGGUGUAUAGUACUCUUGAAUAGACUAAGUUGUGAGGCAUGUGGUUAUACUCCAUUACUCAUGCACCUUUAAACACCUGAAAAAUGUAGCUUCCGUGAAAGUUAGGUUGGCAUAGUCUCCGGGAGUGCUGCAGCCCAGAGAGACUAAAAUCACACGUCGAUUUUGCCUGCCUACAUGCUCGUAUCUACAAGACACAUGUUUUGAAAACUAUUGUAUACUGUAGAACUCCUUUUGGGCUCCAGAACUUGUCUCUCCACACAGACACACAUGCAGACAGACCCCUUCCCCCCGUUAAUUUUAAAUUAACAAUUCUAGCUGUAUAGUGUCCUUAUACUCCUGGAAACUUUUUCAGGUGCAAUAUUUUAUAUCUUAAUUUUAAAUAAUUAAAAACUCCAUCUUUUACCAAAGCAUUACAUUUAAAGUAGGGUACUUUUGCGAAGCGUUCAGGUAGUAAAGGCAUUCUGCUUCUUUCAAUGUUUAUUUCUCAAUUGGUUGCUGUCAGUUGCUGCCCCAAGGAACUUAGUGUAAAUGAUGCAAUGGAGCAGAUGGGACACAUUGAGAAGGAUUGAUUAAUGUUGUUUCCAUAUACAGUGAAACCUCACUAUAACACAAUGAUUGGGGUCCGAAAAAUUCAGUUGCAAUAAAUGUGGGGUUGUGUUAUAGCAGGGUUACGAAAAUUUACCAUUUCAAGCCGGUCAGAUUCUCUUGGGCAGAAAACUACUUGCGUUUGCGAACUGCCCAUAACAGUAACUGAAAAGGUAUAGCAAUAAUUACUGACAUUACAAGCUAAUCAACCUAUUAAACGAGCCAGAACCAGCUGGAGAAUGGCUGGGUUUGGACUUUGAAAACUAGAGUUUUGGGACCUGGCAGGCUGGGGCCGGAGCGGCUCUCGAGAUCUGUACAAAGGUGCUCAGCCGACUCCCCUCCACCCAGAGAGCCGAUUGCAGUGUUUGACACUGAGGAAUUGCUGAUAUUCAGAGCAGAGUUCGUGCCACUGUUUCUGUAGCAUCCCUCCCAGCUAUCAGCCUGCUCCAGCAGCGAAGGCUCUCAGCCAUGCAGGGAGACACUUGGGGAGAUGUGCAAGGGGCAGAGGAAGAGCAAGUAGCAGCUGGGGAGGAGAGCAGCUCUUCUUGCCAAAAGGGGAAGAGGGGACGGGGGGGAAGAGGCAGUGGAGAAGGCACAUUUAUUUUUAGUUUUUUGCUUGGAGUAGCUGGAGCCUCUUAGAUCGCAUUAUAUCCGAAUUAGUGUUAUUGCGGGGGCACGUUAUACCGGGGUUUCACUGUACAUAAUUUCACUUCACUUCUAUUUGUCAGUGUAGUUUUACAAGGUUUAGACUUCGUGAGAAGCCACACUUUCUCUGCUGGAGGUUGGUGAUAUCACUGCAAAUGUCUUCAACAGCUUGGCCCAAUCCUUGUCCCUUCCCCUACUCCACAGCUCCUUAAUUGUGCAGAAUAUAGUUGUUCCUGUUAAGCUCUUGAUAGAGAAGAUGGUUUAAAUAGACUACAUGGAGGAAAAUCUUUUCUUUCAGAAUAAUUUCUCUGCUCAUGAUGGUGAAUGAAUAAAUAGAAUGUACAGAUUUCACAUCUGAGCCAGGUUCUCUCUUUAACUGAAAUAUUUAUUGAACACACAUUAUCAAAGUAGUUGUAGCAUGGAGAAUGGAGGGGAGAGUAUGAUUGAGUCAGGGGCAUGAGAGUAUUUGAGCUAAGGUUUAACACACACUU
Non-coding RNA from Chelonoidis abingdonii (Abingdon island giant tortoise), 3187 nucleotides. The record is from RefSeq and is a predicted model, not a curated record. NCBI's taxonomy places the organism in Eukaryota, Metazoa, Chordata, Testudines, Testudinidae.